This is a non-coding RNA of Lama glama (llama), 43 nucleotides long. The record is from Rfam. Lineage: Eukaryota; Metazoa; Chordata; Mammalia; Artiodactyla; Camelidae.
CCAGGGAGGGGGCGGCUGGGGUCAGCCCCACGGAGGAGGCUGG